GGAAAAACAAGCAUGUAAAGCUGGAGACAACGGGAAUGGAAGCACAAUGGACUUGAACCUUGUGAAGUUAAAUCAUCUGAAAGGGAAGAAAAACUUUGUGAUUCUUACAGAUUGUGGCCUGUGGAUCGCCAUGAUCUGAUCACAGUGCAAGGAAAUUUACUUGUCUAUAGAACCCAUGCUGGAACUAUCGCAGACUGAAGUAAUGCAGCUAUUUUGUCGACUAAGGUGAUGGAGCCAGGGUGAGAGAAUUAUCUACUUCUUGACACCAGGACUUCAGGUUGGCUCUGAGGUCCAUGGAUACCUUGUGCUUGGAUCCCAGCAAGGCCCUCAACAUAGCAUCAGCAGAGACACGGACCCGGCGAAGGGUGGGCCGCUUAAAC
Hypanus sabinus (Atlantic stingray) is the source of this 380-nucleotide long non-coding RNA. RefSeq lists it as uncharacterized. The record is from RefSeq and is a predicted model, not a curated record. The transcript is spliced from 3 exons. NCBI's taxonomy places the organism in Eukaryota, Metazoa, Chordata, Chondrichthyes, Myliobatiformes, Dasyatidae.